UGCCUGCACAGGGCUGCCACGGGAGCGUGUCGGGUGGCUGGAGAGAGGUGGCACUCAGUGAUGUCCCCCCUCUAUAGUUCAUCAAAGAACUGGAUACUUCAAGACACGGGGAAAGCACCACUGAACUCACAGCCUCACAGCACGGCUGGCACGAGCAUCCUCACCCAGAGUUUAGGUGGGAAUCAGCAGUCCCUAGACUUUGUCCUGUCUCUCUGAGGAGCUGUGGUUUUCAGCAGAGAAGAGGGAAGGGCUUGUUGUUUCUCAAACCAGAAAAGCCAUCUUUGAGAUCUACAUACCAACCCUACAGGGGUGAUGGACAUUGCAGAGAGAAGGACCAUCAGACUGUCCCAGCCCAACUGCUGCAGCUGCAGGGCUGACCUUCUCGCUUGCAUCCCAGCAUGGAGGGCAGAGAUUUUGUUCAACAGCAUCUUGCCCAAGUGCUGCAAUAUCGUGGUUUGGUUUGCUGACCCCUGGGCUCCACGUCAAGGCCUGGUUAACAACGUGCGCCCUUUCUUCUCUUCCCACCUCUGAAGAGGAUCUAAGGCAGUGAAGCCAAGGGUGUGUUUCUUUAUCUUGGAGCAGAAGGAGGUCUUCACGGUGGUGGUUGUGGCUUCAGCCUCUGGUGAUGGCCAAGUGGUCAGGAUCUACAGACCUCAGAGCACGUCUGCUAAACACAUCUCAGUCCACUGCAAACAGGACCCAGGUCCAGGACAUGCAGAUGAAGAAAGCUGUAAGGAGAUUGAUCCGAAGGCUUUCAUCAUCCCCAAGACAUCACUUCUCAAACACACAGGGUGUUAUUUAGAGACAGCAGUCUCCAAACAGCUCCUCCAUGUGAUCGAUGGCAGUGAAAAGGGAUUAUCAUCACAGAGAAAUUUCCUCCCGUGAAGCCUGCAUUCACAGUUUAUGGAGCAAAACAAUCAGAAGAGCCUUUCUGGAUGCCUGCUUGUCGGGUGCUGUGAAGGUGCCAAACUAAACAAUGUUAUUGUUACCUCCUGAGACGUGUGCCUAAGAGAAGCUCUGGCUUUUAAAAACCCUCUGCAGUGUCACACGGGUGACCACCUGGACAGGACAGCUCUUCCUCCUCUCAUCCCGUGCCCGUUACUUCUCCUCCCGUCAAGGCAUUUGAGGGAAUGCAUCUGCAUUGGGAUGUAUGCUUCUGCUCAGGCUGCACGGCUCAAAUGGGGUGCCUGACAUAAGGCCACCAGGAAGGGUUUGGCUCCCAGCUCGGGUUCCCCUUGGCUUUUCUUCUCAUUUCCACCAUGGCCCUGCUGCAACCACAGUUGUUUGGGGAACGUUUGCAGAGGAAGAGCUGGGGUGAAGGUGGAUUUUUACCAAUCCCAGAGACAUUGUGAGGAAGAGCUCGGUCGUAAUGGUGUUAAGGCAGCACAGGUGUUGCACCAGUAAGGACUGGAAACCUAAGGGAUGGGUCCUGCUCCGAUGCUCACAGCCCGUGGGGGUGCCAGCAAGUGGAUCCAAAUUGCCCUCGGAGGUGUGACGAGUGCCAGAAGGGAGCUGCCAGAAACCAACACGGGCAGAAGCUGGGACCUCUUGGC
Long non-coding RNA from Calidris pugnax (ruff), 1553 nucleotides. RefSeq lists it as uncharacterized. The record is from RefSeq and is a predicted model, not a curated record. NCBI's taxonomy places the organism in Eukaryota, Metazoa, Chordata, Aves, Charadriiformes, Scolopacidae. The transcript has 9 exons.